AGUGAACGCUGGCGGUAUGCCUAACACAUGCAAGUCGAACGACAGCACAGUAAGAGCUUGCCCUUACUGGUGGCGGGUGGCGGGCGGGUGAGGCAUACAUCAGCAUCUACUUUUUCUUGGAGGAUAACGUAGGGCCACUUACGCUACUACCGCAUACUACCUACGGGUGAAAGCAGGAGAUCUUCGGACCUUUCGCGAUUCAAUUAGACGGUGCCGGAUUAGCUAGUUGGCGGGGUAACGGCCCACCAAGGCAACGAACCGUAGCUGGUCUGAGAGGAUGAUCAGCCACACUGGAACUGAGACACGGUCCAGACUCCUACGGGAGGCAGCAGUGGGGAAUAUUGGACAAUGGGCGCAAGCCUGAUCCAGCAAUACCGCGUGGGUGAAGAAGGCCUUCGGGUUGUAAAGCCCUGUUGUUGGGAAAGAAAAGCAGCAGGUGAAUACCCCGCUGUUCUGACGGUACCCAAAGAAUAAGCACCGGCUAACUUCGUG
This 492-nucleotide ribosomal RNA is filed under the name uncultured bacterium. RNAcentral's name for it is "partial 16S ribosomal RNA". It matches the Rfam family "Bacterial small subunit ribosomal RNA", at positions 29 to 507 of the family's 1533-position model. The record is from RNAcentral.